This 281-nucleotide ribosomal RNA is filed under the name uncultured bacterium. RNAcentral's name for it is "partial 16S ribosomal RNA". It matches the Rfam family "Bacterial small subunit ribosomal RNA", at positions 338 to 616 of the family's 1533-position model. The record is from RNAcentral.
CCUACGGGGGGCAGCAGUGAGGAAUAUUGGUCAAUGGGCGCGAGCCUGAACCAGCCAAGUCGCGUGAGGGAUGACGGUCCUAUGGGUUGUAAACCUCUUUUGUCGGGGAGCAAAAGACGCCACGCGUGGCGUGCCGAGAGUACCCGAAGAAAAAGCAUCGGCUAACUCCGUGCCAGCAGCCGCGGUAAUACGGAGGAUGCGAGCGUUAUCCGGAUUUAUUGGGUUUAAAGGGUGCGCAGGCGGAAUAUCAAGUCAGCGGUAAAAUAGAGAGGCUCAACCUC